Molecule: ribosomal RNA, 441 nt
Filed under: uncultured bacterium
Lineage: Bacteria
Description: partial 16S ribosomal RNA
Rfam family: Bacterial small subunit ribosomal RNA
Source: RNAcentral
CUACGGGUUGCAGCAGUGAGGAAUAUUGCACAAUGGGGGGAACCCUGAUGCAGCAACGCCGCGUGGAGGAUGACGCAUUUCGGUGUGUAAACUCCUUUUAUAUGUCAAGAAAAUGACGGUAGCAUAUGGAUAAGCACCGGCUAACUCCGUGCCAGCAGCCGCGGUAGAUACAGGAGGGUGCAAGCGUUACUCGGAAUCACUGGGCGUAAAGGACGCGUAGGCGGGUUGGAAAGUCAGGUGUGAAAUCCUACAGCUUAACUGUAGAACUGCACUUGAAACUUCUAAUCUAGAGUAUGGGAGGGGGAGAUGGAAUUAGUGGUGUAGGGGUAAAAUCCGUAGAUAUCACUAGGAAUACCUAAAGCGAAGGCGAUCUCCUGGAACAUUACUGACGCUAAGGCGUGAAAGCGUGGGGAGCAAACAGGAUUAGAUACCCUAGUAGUC